CCUACGGGAGGCAGCAGUAGGGCAUCUUCCACAAUGGGCGCAAGCCUGAUGGAGCAACACCGCGUGAGUGAAGAAGGGUUUCGGCUCGUAAAGCUCUGUUGUUGGAGAAGAACGUGCGUGAGAGUAACUGUUCACGCAGUGACGGUAUCCAACCAGAAAGUCACGGCUAACUACGUGCCAGCAGCCGCGGUAAUACGUAGGUGGCAAGCGUUAUCCGGAUUUAUUGGGCGUAAAGCGAGCGCAGGCGGUUGCUUAGGUCUGAUGUGAAAGCCUUCGGCUUAACCGAAGAAGUGCAUCGGAAACCGGGCAACUUGAGUGCAGAAGAGGACAGUGGAACUCCAUGUGUAGCGGUGGAAUGCGUAGAUAUAUGGAAGAACACCAGUGGCGAAGGCGGCUGUCUGGUCUGCAACUGACGCUGAGGCUCGAAAGCAUGGGUAGCGAACAGGAUGAGAUACCCUGGUAGUC
This 465-nucleotide ribosomal RNA is filed under the name uncultured bacterium. RNAcentral's name for it is "partial 16S ribosomal RNA". It matches the Rfam family "Bacterial small subunit ribosomal RNA", at positions 338 to 795 of the family's 1533-position model. The record is from RNAcentral.